AUGAUCUCUGCCUACGCUGGAAGUGGACGUGCCGACCAGGCAUUCCGGCUUGUGCACCGGAUGAGUGAGGAUACAAAAGAUGAUAGCCAUAGCAAUGCAGCGUUGGAGUGUAUCCGGUUGAUUAGAAGCCAUGGCUUUUUGGUCGACAAAUGCAGUGUGCCAACUCAACGGUGCUUCCCAUGUGCACAGAUGUCAAGGAUUUGGCUAAGGGUUACCAGCUCUUGGCCCUCCGAAUCAAAACAGGACUCUGUCAAAUUCUGUCGUUUACAGUGCUCUUAUCGGCAUGUUGUCCAUGUCUCACAGACUACCUGA
This 312-nucleotide ribosomal RNA is filed under the name Triticum aestivum (bread wheat). RNAcentral's name for it is "partial small subunit ribosomal RNA". Lineage: Eukaryota; Viridiplantae; Streptophyta; Magnoliopsida; Poales; Poaceae. The record is from RNAcentral.